Molecule: long non-coding RNA, 482 nt
Filed under: Homo sapiens (human)
Lineage: Eukaryota; Metazoa; Chordata; Mammalia; Primates; Hominidae
Description: novel transcript
Source: RNAcentral
UAAUUUUAAGUAUUUUAUGUUUUCAAUGGUAUUAUAACAAAAGGCUUUCAAUAUCUCUUAAAAUCUUAAAUCCUGGCUGUCUGCAGUGGCUCACACCUGUAAUCCCGACACUUUGAGAGGCCAAGGCUAGUAUCCACUACCACCUCAGCCUCCCAGAGCAAUCCUUACUCUCAGUUACGGUUUGUGGAACUAUAAAUUGGUACAGCUUCAGAGGAGAGUAAUGUGAAUGCUUUUCUCUAAAUUACAAAAGAACAUACUCUCAGAUUCAGUUAACUCCACUUCUAGUAAUGUCUCCUAUGAUGUACAAGAAAGUGUGCAAAAUCACCUAGAUUCAUCAAAGAACUGUUUACAUAAUGAAAAAUAGGAAACCAACAUAUGCACCAAGAUAUUGGUUAAACAAAUUAUGAUGCAUUCAUUUGAUAGACUUGGUCCAUCAGAACCCCAGCAGAAAAAUAUGAGUGCUUAAUGGAGGGACUUUUUUU